GGGGCAACCCUGGUGGCGAGUGGCGAACGGGUGAGUAAUACAUCGGAACGUGUCCUGUAGUGGGGGAUAGCCCGGCGAAAGCCGGAUUAAUACCGCAUACGCUCUACGGAGGAAAGGGGGGGAUCUUCGGACCUCUCGCUACAGGGGCGGCCGAUGGCAGAUUAGCUAGUUGGUGGGGUAAAGGCCUACCAAGGCGACGAUCUGUAGCUGGUCUGAGAGGACGACCAGCCACACUGGGACUGAGACACGGCCCAGACUCCUACGGGAGGCAGCAGUGGGGAAUUUUGGACAAUGGGGGCAACCCUGAUCCAGCAAUGCCGCGUGUGUGAAGAAGGCCUUCGGGUUGUAAAGCACUUUUGUCCGGAAAGAAAACUUCGGCCCUAAUACGGCGGGAGGAUGACGGUACCGGAAGAAUAAGCACCGGCUAACUACGUGCCAGCAGCCGCGGUA
This 450-nucleotide ribosomal RNA is filed under the name Burkholderia sp. BSF2(13). Its description in RNAcentral is "bacterial SSU rRNA". It matches the Rfam family "Bacterial small subunit ribosomal RNA", at positions 76 to 522 of the family's 1533-position model. Lineage: Bacteria; Pseudomonadati; Pseudomonadota; Betaproteobacteria; Burkholderiales; Burkholderiaceae. The record is from RNAcentral.